This 1329-nucleotide ribosomal RNA is filed under the name Listeria innocua. Its description in RNAcentral is "partial 23S ribosomal RNA". It matches the Rfam family "Bacterial large subunit ribosomal RNA", at positions 204 to 1528 of the family's 2925-position model. The record is from RNAcentral. Lineage: Bacteria; Bacillati; Bacillota; Bacilli; Caryophanales; Listeriaceae.
AAGUACCUGGAGGAAGAGAAAGAAAAAUCGAUUUCCUGAGUAGCGGCGAGCGAAACGGAAAGAGCCCAAACCAAGAAGCUUGCUUCUUGGGGUUGUAGGACACUCUAUACGGAGUUACAAAAGAAAGUUAUAAAUGAAGCGGUCUGGAAAGGCCCGCCAAAGACGGUAACAGCCCGGUAGUUGAAAUGGCUUUCCCUCCAGAGUGGAUCCUGAGUACGGCGGAACACGUGAAAUUCCGUCGGAAUCCGGGAGGACCAUCUCCCAAGGCUAAAUACUCCCUAGUGACCGAUAGUGAACCAGUACCGUGAGGGAAAGGUGAAAAGCACCCCGGAAGGGGAGUGAAACAGUUCCUGAAACCGUGUGCCUACAAGUAGUUAGAGCCCGUUAAUGGGUGAUAGCGUGCCUUUUGUAGAAUGAACCGGCGAGUUACGAUUUGUUGCAAGGUUAAGCGGAAAAAGCGGAGCCGUAGCGAAAGCGAGUCUGAAUAGGGCGCAUAAGUAACAGGUCGUAGACCCGAAACCAGGUGAUCUACCCAUGUCCAGGAUGAAGGUAAGGUAAUACUUACUGGAGGUCCGAACCCACGCACGUUGAAAAGUGCGGGGAUGAGGUGUGGGUAGCGGAGAAAUUCCAAUCGAACUUGGAGAUAGCUGGUUCUCUCCGAAAUAGCUUUAGGGCUAGCCUCGAGGUAAAGAGUCAUGGAGGUAGAGCACUGUUUGGACUAGGGGCCCUUCUCGGGUUACCGAAUUCAGAUAAACUCCGAAUGCCAUGUACUUAUACUCGGGAGUCAGACUGCGAGUGAUAAGAUCCGUAGUCGAAAGGGAAACAGCCCAGACCACCAGUUAAGGUCCCCAAAUAUAUGUUAAGUGGAAAAGGAUGUGGGGUUGCUUAGACAACCAGGAUGUUGGCUUAGAAGCAGCCACCAUUGAAAGAGUGCGUAAUAGCUCACUGGUCGAGUGACCCCGCGCCGAAAAUGUACCGGGGCUAAACAUAUUACCGAAACUGUGGAUGAACCUCUUCGGAGGUUCGUGGUAGGAGAGCGUUCUAAGGGCGGUGAAGUCAGACCGGAAGGACUGGUGGAGCGCUUAGAAGUGAGAAUGCCGGUAUGAGUAGCGAAAGAAGGGUGAGAAUCCCUUCCACCGAAUAUCUAAGGUUUCCUGAGGAAGGCUCGUCCGCUCAGGGUUAGUCGGGACCUAAGCCGAGGCCGAUAGGCGUAGGCGAUGGACAACAGGUAGAGAUUCCUGUACCAGUGCUAAUUGUUUAACCGAUGGGGUGACACAGAAGGAUAGGGAAUCGCACGAAUGGAAAUGUGCGUCCAAGCAGUGAGUGUGA